This is a non-coding RNA of Myotis lucifugus (little brown bat), 73 nucleotides long. NCBI's taxonomy places the organism in Eukaryota, Metazoa, Chordata, Mammalia, Chiroptera, Vespertilionidae. The record is from Rfam.
GGUGGUUCUCGGUUGAGCACCCCAGAAUAGGGUUCCCUCCUCUCUGGUUCCGGUGUAUCACCCAAGAACCGCA